CUGUGGUGCGUGCCCCUAGUUUGUAGAUUCCUGGGUGCACUCGCUGGCGAGGCUGUGCGGCGCCGGUUUCGUGGCUAAAAUCCGACAGCCUUAUUGCAGAACUUGUUUCUUUGUCCGGAAAGGGCUCCCCUGUGUAACUUUACACCAGUUAUCGUAGAUGAGGCUUGCAAAUUACAGAUGUGGACGGUGAGGGAACGGGAAUUUCACUGAUAGCGCCUGAGAACCAACACAAGGAGUAAGAUACAGCCCCUCAAGGGACUCGCCAUAGGGAGAGGACACAGAGCUGUGGGAAUAAAGGGGCCACAAAGAAAGACAGAGGCGUUUGCUGAAAACUUCCCAAGCUCCCAUUCCAGCAGUUCCUGAAGGAUUCAUUUCUCUCUGAGCAUCCCAUGAGGUGGCUUAGCAGCUAGAAUCUCCUCCUUUACAGUGGGAAGAAUAGCUCCUGGAAAUUUAGGUCGACUUUGGAUUUAAAAGAAAGCUGUACAAUUCCACUUCUGGAUAUAUAACCAAAGGAAAUGAGCUGUGCAUACCCAUGUUCAAUGAAGCAUUAUUCACAAUAGCCAAAAUGUGGAACCAAUCCUUAAACAAAAGGAAGAGAGAAAAUCUGCUCAAGGGACACAUCUGGUCAACAUCAGGGCUGCUACCAGAGACCCUCCUUUGAAGCUACAAAGGAACAGGAUGAGAAGCAGAAAUGAACUACUACUGAUUGAAGGAGAGAAAUCUGUAGCAUCAGGGAGAAGACAGGGGUGGUUGUGUGAAGAUGGAAGUGAGUUUCUGUCAUUUUUAUUGCCCUUUGAUGGAGUCACCUGUCCUAGGAUGAGCAUUCAUCCUUAGGAGACAUAUUUAAACAGGCUGUAUUUGAAUCAGGGAUGAUCUAUAAUCUAACAUGUUAGUAUAGUAUAAGAACAUAUGCUGGGCGCCAAUUAUAUGUGGGCUACUGGGCCAGAUGUUUUACAUAUAUGAUGUGAUUCAAUUAUCCCCAUGAGUAUUUUUAGUAGAUAUUAUUCUAGAAGGGUUAAAUAACUUGCCUAAAAUCACAGAGGUAAUAAAUGACACAGCCAAAGUUUAGAGAUAACAGGUUCAUCUGUAUCACACUGCCUCCCAGUAACUUCUGUUUUACACAAACUGGUGUUUAACCAUUUACCUUGGCAUUGUUGAUUGCAGCCCCAUAGCCAGUUGAAAACCCACAUCCAAGCAGACAAACUCUCUCUAAAUUUGCAUCGUCGUCUAUUUUGGCAAGAUUAGUAUCUGACACUACAGUGUACUGAGAGAAUGUACUGGUUCCCAAGAAAUGGUAAACUGGUUUUCCUUUGCAGGUAAACCUGCUGGUUUUGUCUUCCAUUAGUUGUUGAUCACUAGCAGGAUUUUUAAGAUUACUAGAAAAUUAAAAAAGAGAGAGAGAGAGAUACAAAUAAAGAGGAGUUACAAUAAAUGGAAGACUGAUCAUUUUCCUACAAAAUAUAUUGAGCAUUAUACAUCUUUCAUGACAAUUUACACGACAGAAAAAUUAGGGAAACAACAAGACUUUUCACAAAAUAUAGUUUGUUGAAAGCAUUUUAAAGAUAACAACAACAAUUUUUUUAAAGUGACAGGGUCUCGUUUUGUCACUCAGGCUGGAGUGCA
Molecule: non-coding RNA, 1623 nt
Organism: Macaca mulatta (Rhesus monkey)
Lineage: Eukaryota; Metazoa; Chordata; Mammalia; Primates; Cercopithecidae
Source: RefSeq, a predicted model, not a curated record